CCUACGGGUGGCAGCAGUGGGGGAUAUUGCACAAUGGGGGGAACCCUGAUGCAGCGACGCCGCGUGGGUGAAGGAGCGUUUCGGCGCGUAAAGCUCUGUCAGCAGGGAAGAAAAUGACGGUACCUGACCAAGAAGCCCCGGCUAACUACGGGCCAGCAGCCGCGGUAAUACGUAGGGGGCAAGCGUUAUCCGGAUUUACUGGGUGUAAAGGGAGCGUAGACGGCAGGGCAAGUCUGGAGUGAAAGGCGGGGGCUCAACCCCCGGACUGCUCUGGAAACCGCCAGGCUGGAGUGCAGGAGAGGUAAGUGGAAUUCCUAGUGUAGCGGUGAAAUGCGUAGAUAUUAGGAGGAACACCAGUGGCGAAGGCGGCUUACUGGACUGUAACUGACGUUGAGGCUCGAAAGCGUGGGGAGCAAACAGGAUUAGAUACCCCUGUAGUC
RNAcentral lists this ribosomal RNA (440 nucleotides) under uncultured bacterium. Its description in RNAcentral is "partial 16S ribosomal RNA". It matches the Rfam family "Bacterial small subunit ribosomal RNA", at positions 338 to 795 of the family's 1533-position model. The record is from RNAcentral.